RNAcentral lists this ribosomal RNA (449 nucleotides) under uncultured organism. Its description in RNAcentral is "partial 16S ribosomal RNA". It matches the Rfam family "Bacterial small subunit ribosomal RNA", at positions 331 to 797 of the family's 1533-position model. The record is from RNAcentral.
GUACACUCCUGCGGGAGGCAGCAGUGGGGAAUAUUGAACAAUGGGCGCAAGCCUGAUCCAGCCAUGCCGCGUGAGUGAUGAAGGCCCUAGGGUUGUAAAGCUCUUUCACCGGUGAAGAUAAUGACGGUAACCGGAGAAGAAGCCCCGGCUAACUUCGUGCCAGCAGCCGCGGUAAUACGAAGGGGGCUAGCGUUGUUCGGAUUUACUGGGCGUAAAGCGCACGUAGGCGGACUAUUAAGUCAGGGGUGAAAUCCCGGGGCUCAACCCCGGAACUGCCUUUGAUACUGGUAGUCUUGAGUUCGAGAGAGGUGAGUGGAAUUCCGAGUGUAGAGGUGAAAUUCGUAGAUAUUCGGAGGAACACCAGUGGCGAAGGCGGCUCACUGGCUCGAUACUGACGCUGAGGUGCGAAAGCGUGGGGAGCAAACAGGAUUAGAAACCCGGGUAGUCCC